Molecule: ribosomal RNA, 483 nt
Filed under: uncultured bacterium
Lineage: Bacteria
Description: partial 16S ribosomal RNA
Rfam family: Bacterial small subunit ribosomal RNA
Source: RNAcentral
GACGAACGCUGGCGGCGUGCUUAACACAUGCAAGUCGAACGCUGAAGCCCAGCUUUUGUUGGGUGGUUGAGUGGCGAACGGGUGAGUAACACGUGAGUAACCUGCCUUCUUCUUUGGGAUAACGCCCGGAAACGGGUGCUAAUACUGGAUAUUCACUGGUCUUCGCUUGGGGGUUGGUGGAAAGGGUUUCUUUGGUGGGGGGUGGGCUCGCGGGCUAUCAGCUUGUUGGUGGGGUGUUGGACUACCAAGGUUUUGACUGGGAGGAGGCCUGGGAGGCGGAGCGAUCACAUUGGCACUGACAUACGGCCCGAACUCCUGCGCGAGGUAGUAGUGGGGAAUAGUGCACAAUAUGCUCAAGCAUGAUGCAGCGACGCCGCCUGAAGGAUCGCGGCCGGCAUGUCGGGCACCUCUUUCGCAAACGGUCACGCCGCAGCAAUGGUUUUGGUGACGGUAAUGGGUAAAGAAGCACCGGCUAACUACGUG